UGUUGCCUUCGCAGAUG
Molecule: unclassified non-coding RNA, 17 nt
Filed under: Mus musculus (house mouse)
Lineage: Eukaryota; Metazoa; Chordata; Mammalia; Rodentia; Muridae
Description: oocyte_clustered_small_RNA9741
Source: RNAcentral